GGAUGCGAUCAUACCAGCACUAAAGCACCGGAUCCCAUCAGAACUCCACAGUUAAGCGUGCUUGGGCGAGAGUAGUACUAGGAUGGGUGACCUACUGGGAAGUCCUCGUGUUGCAUUCC
RNAcentral lists this ribosomal RNA (119 nucleotides) under Triticum aestivum (bread wheat). Lineage: Eukaryota; Viridiplantae; Streptophyta; Magnoliopsida; Poales; Poaceae. The record is from RNAcentral.